This 4287-nucleotide long non-coding RNA is filed under the name Homo sapiens (human). RNAcentral's name for it is "HSALNT0172860". Lineage: Eukaryota; Metazoa; Chordata; Mammalia; Primates; Hominidae. The record is from RNAcentral.
AAGACCCUCUCUCCUCCCACAGGGGGAGCCCACAUGAAUUGGGGAGCCUGCUGCAGGAGGAACCUUUCUUUCCCUCUCCUCUGGUUCCCACAGGGGCUCAUAAAGAGGAACCCUCCUCCUUCCUGGAAAUGUUGAGUGUUCCUGACCUUCUCUCUACCCAUCGCUGUACCCAGGGAGGGAAGAGUGACUUGGGAACCAGAUAGGGACAUGGAGCUAUUCCGGAAGCGGCUGUCAGUGUAUGGAUCAUACUGCCCAUCAGCAUUGGAGAGGCUGUGAGUCCUCAGCAUGGUCGGGUUGGACAAGCUCAUCUGGGUGACAGUGGUGGGACUCGCUGGAAUAAAAGGAAUAGAAUCAAAAGGGCCAAGACAGCCCCGGCCUCUUACCAGUUCCUGGGGUCUUCAGUGCGCCUGCCGGGGCUGAAGGCUUCGUCCUUGGCAUGGUGAUGCCCACCUGAGCUGUCAUGCCUCGCCGCCAUGAGCCUGUCUGGGAGAUGACAGGAUUCUUCUUGCCCGACGUGCUUUUGUCGGACUCGUCAGACACAUCAGAAGGAUUCCGCCUCCACUUGGAACCUGGCUCCAUUUUUAUGCCGCUGUCUGAGCCUCCGUCUGAUUUCUUGACAUCAUCACCAGACCACAGGGAAUUCCUCUCCACCUGUGAGUGCUUCUCAGCAUCAGUCUGUGGACAGAGACUCUCUGAAUUAGUCCUUCCCCAGUCCCAGGCUGGGAAGCCCCUCACUCCAAAGGCAAAAAUGCCAAAACACUGGAGUAGUUAAGGGAAAAAUAAGCAUUACUUUAAAGAUGUUUGGACUUUUGUACUCUGGUUAUCUUGUUAGAAAGACUGAUUUUUUUUUUUUGGAAAAAAAAAUAAAAAAGUAAAUAAUAUCAAUGUAUCCCUGGAAUGGAAUGGAACGAGAUGGCUGGGCACAGUGGCUCACGCCUAUAAUCCUAAUAUUUUAGGAGGCUGAGGCGGGAGGAUCACUUGAUCCCACAAGUUUAAGACCAGCCUGGGCAUCAUGGCAAAACCCCAUCUCUACAAAAAAUAGAAAAAUUAGCUGAGUGUGGUGGCACACGCCUAUAGUUCUACCCACUCGGGUGGUUGAGGUGGGAGGAUCACCCCGGGGAGGUGGAGGCUGCAGUAAGCCGUGACCGCACCACUGUACUCUAGCCUGGAUGACAGGGCGAGACUGUCUCAAAAAAGAAGAAAAGAAAAGCAAAAGAAAGGAGUGAGGGAAGAGAGGAAAAGGGGCCCAGGAAAAAAGAAGGAAAGAGCCCUAGCGAGGGGAAGGGGCAGAGCAGAUGGAGAUGCAGUGGGAAUUCAGCCACCACCUAUUUUCUGCCACUUGAACAAGCCUCCUCCAACUCUGGCGGCUGAUCUCUAACCAGCAUCCAGUCUCCUGGCCCGUUUCCCUUUGUUCUGCCUUCUUCCCAUCACUGCACCGCAGAGAGAUCUUUGGAUCUAACACACCAAGCAAGGGAGCAAGGGUGGCUGCUGGUUCUACGCAAAUCAGGGAGAGCCAGGAGCUGAGGGGAAGCGCAUCCUCAAAUGCUACUUCCCCCAAAUGCGGAGAGCCAAUGAUGCCUGCUCCGACCCCAGCAUUAUUUAUAUGCCACUGCUUUGCUCCCCUUGUGGGAUUUUGUUCUGACAAGGGAUAUAAUUAGCCAGCUUUCUUUGGAAGAGCCCUGACCUGCUGGCCAUAAAACCCAGAAGGGGACCGAAGUGUGACGUUAAUGAUCUCCUGCAGCUAAAAGGCAUAAAGCUGACCAGAAUGCUUUGGAGGCCUCCUGGGGUUUGAGGCCAGUUGGAGGAUGUCAGUAGCGAGAAGCAGCACGGUAAAUGGGGAAGGGAGGUCAGGAGCGCUUUCAGGGUGGGUAUACUAAGAUACCAGUCCCAUAUUUGCAAUGCUUAACUACCGAGAGUAGGCAAGAUAGGAAAUUAAAAUGAACACCUGGCAAGAAUCUGCCUAACGCCUGUCAUCCAAGAGUGGAAGAAAUGCCUUCCUCCAUGGAAUACAAUGGCUGAAUGGGAUAAAAGCUAAAAACAGAUAGGCAGCCCAAGUUCAAUCGCCUCCCCAACACCACCCCAACCCCUUCUCCCCUUAUGAAUUCCACUCAUCCAUUACAGACACCUUAUGAGUUCUUUCAUUUGUUUUUUUCCAGCUAAGUAUUAGUCACUAGAGAUAUGAGGAGGACAAACACACACUGCCUGGCUAUGAGAAGCUCAUCAUUCAGCUGUGGCAAGGGACAGAGAGAGGGGAGUUCCUACAUGUGGGCACAGGGCAGGAGCUCACUCAAAGCUUGAUGAGCGAAUGAAUGAGCCUAGGAAGGAGCCAAGGAACACACGCUUUUCAGGCCACAACAGACAUUAGCAAAAUUAUCUUAUCCGAUCUCAGCCUCUAUUUAAUCAGAAAGGGUAAGUACACAAGUACUCAAGUACUGUUAUCUUUAUCUCAAUCUUACAGAAACUAAAGUUGCCCAUUCUUUGUCCCAACUACCUCAGGUCAGUUUCCUUCCUCUAAACACUUCCAGUACAUUCAUCCAACCAGAAUUUACUCCAUGCUUGCUGUCUGCCAGGCACCACGGAGGGUCAGAGAAUCUGGGGAUAAGACUGAUUUCCCACCCAUGGUGGAGCUUACGAUCCAGUGAAACAGGCAGAGAUAGAAUAAAUAAACACAAACAAGGGUGUAAUUGUAGACUACGAAGACUAUUAUAAGGAAAAAGACAAAAAGUCUGAGAAAUAAAUAUAGACAUUGACCUAAUUUAGAUGACAAUGAGGUGGGUAGGCGACAGUGAUCAGUUCAAAAAGAAGUACCCUAAAGAAAGAAAAGAAACUUACUUAGUAAAAGAAGAGUUUGGGGCAGAGCAUACCAGGGAGAGGGAACCACAUGUAUAAAGGUCCUGAGGCAGAAAAUAACUUGGCUUUGGAACAUUCACUUCACAAAUAUUUAUUGGGUGCCACUACGUGCCAGGAAAGCUUAUUCGCACUAGGAAUACUGCAAUGAACAAGUAUAAAUCAUUAACCUCAUGGAGCUUACAUUCAAGUACAUUUUAACAUAUUCUAAUAUGCUCUAAGAGGUACUGAAAAUUUAGCACAUGCCACAUCCUGGGUUACUGCAUUAUUUAUUCUUUUAAUGUUCCUAUACUUAUUUCCCCCCAAUCAAACUGUAAUGGUGCUAAUACUAGUAGCAUAACAACUACAAUUUAUUGAGUACUUACUACGUCCCAGGCACUAAGCUAAAGUGUUUGAUAUGUAUCAUUAAAUUUAAUCCUUAUCAAAAACCUAUGAGGAAAUUACAGUUAAUAGUCUCAAUUUUACAUGACAAAACUGAGGCAAACAGUGAAAAGAAAAUUUCCCAAGAUCACAUAGUGAGGAAGUAGAGAUGCAGGGAAUUCAGGGAGUCUAACUGCAGAGCCCACAUUUUAACCACCAUGCCACACUGCCCUCCCUAAGGAUAAGUCGAGGUAUAUGAUACAUUUGUGCAUACUCAGUAGCACCUAAUAGCUAUACCCAGCAGAUUCUCCUUCCAUACUGGCAGGCUCCCCAACCCCAGUUCUAGAGCAGCUCUAGCUUAGCCUCUAGGUGGGACCCAUACAACUCCAUUUCCAUCAGUGGCAGAGACAGCGCACAUGCCCCUGGCCUGGGAAUGUGGCUUGACUUUCUCUCUCUGGAAAGAACAAUCAUCCAGCCAUCACAUCUCCCUAGCUUGGUCCAGGGUGGUCACCUUCCCAGCUCUACUCUGAAUCCUUCAUGAGCUACAUGCCGGACUAUAAGGUGGCACCCCUUGGGAUUAAAAAACGAGAAAGUCCCAGCCUCUCUGUUCCUGGAGCUCGCAACAGCGGAACCAGCCAACAGGACAUCCACAUGGGGACGUACGAAGAGUUCUAUCCUGCCUUCCCCUCCAUGCCUCGGCCAGUUGUUUCCAUCUCAAUGGUACCUCCUUUCUGAAGGGUUUUCUUCUGCCUGUUCUUGGAAGUCUAUGUAGUCAUUCGAUAUCCACAUGGGAAGGUGAGGAAAGAAGCCACGCACAAGGGACUUCAGAAGGGAGGCCAGUCUUCUGAGAGCAAGAGGUGAGGCCUGAGGAGCAUGAUGUGGGGGAAGAGUGUGGGCUUUGGGUCUGACAGAUCUGGGUUCAAGUGUUCGGUGCUGCCACUCAUUUGCUGUGCAUGACCUUGGAAGACAUUGCCCUACUUAUCUGAACUUAUUAACUCAUGUAUAAAACAUGGAUGAUAAAUAGGUCUCUUACAGCAUUGAUGGUGAACUCAGUGAACUCAGUGUGGGGGGACUCAAUAA